GGGUAACCUGCCCAUCAGAAGGGGAUAACACUUGGAAACAGGUGCUAAUACCGUAUAACAAUCGAAACCGCAUGGUUUUGAUUUGAAAGGCGCUUUCGGGUGUCGCUGAUGGAUGGACCCGCGGUGCAUUAGCUAGUUGGUGAGGUAACGGCUCACCAAGGCCACGAUGCAUAGCCGACCUGAGAGGGUAAUCGGCCACAUUGGGACUGAGACACGGCCCAGACUCCUACGGGAGGCAGCAGUAGGGAAUCUUCCACAAUGGACGCAAGUCUGAUGGAGCGACGCCGCAUGAGUGAUGAAGGUUUUCGGAUCGUAAAGCUCUGUUGUUAGGGAAGAACAAGUGCCGUUCAAAUAGGGCGGCACCUUGACGGUACCUAACCAGAAAGCCACGGCUAACUACGUGC
RNAcentral lists this ribosomal RNA (404 nucleotides) under uncultured bacterium. RNAcentral describes it as "bacterial SSU rRNA". It matches the Rfam family "Bacterial small subunit ribosomal RNA", at positions 119 to 508 of the family's 1533-position model. The record is from RNAcentral.